UAUGUUUAUUAGACCCGAUACUGAUACGAGCUUGUUAUAAACAGGUAUGUAUUAGCAUGACCAAACAGAUGUCUGUAGCAAAAGACUCUGAAGAUUUAUAACAAGGGGUGAAAGGCCAAUCAAGUUCAGUGAUAGCUGGUUUUCUGCCAAAGAUAUUUAGGUAUCGCGUUUUAUAUCGACAAUAUAUUGUAAGUCCUAAAGACUGAAGGUAUAUUGAUCUUGUAUAACAGACAGACCUUUAGCGGGAAGGUCAAAGGUCGAAAGGGAAAGAGCCCAGAAGUGUAGCUAAAGUCCCUAAAUUCAUU
Molecule: ribosomal RNA, 305 nt
Filed under: Limnomonas spitsbergensis
Lineage: Eukaryota; Viridiplantae; Chlorophyta; Chlorophyceae; Chlamydomonadales
Description: large subunit ribosomal RNA
Rfam family: Bacterial large subunit ribosomal RNA
Source: RNAcentral